RNAcentral lists this ribosomal RNA (253 nucleotides) under uncultured bacterium. RNAcentral describes it as "partial 16S ribosomal RNA". It matches the Rfam family "Bacterial small subunit ribosomal RNA", at positions 524 to 776 of the family's 1533-position model. The record is from RNAcentral.
UACGGAGGGUGCAAGCGUUGUUCGGAAUUAUUGGGCGUAAAGAGCAUGUAGGCGGCCUGCUAAGUCUGAUGUGAAAGCCCGGGGCUCAACCCCGGAAGUGCAUUGGAUACUGGUUGGCUUGAGUAUGGGAGAGGAAAGUGGAAUUCCGAGUGUAGGAGUGAAAUCCGUAGAUAUUCGGAGGAACACCAGUGGCGAAGGCGGCUUUCUGGACCAAUACUGACGCUGAGAUGCGAAAGCGUGGGGAGCAAACAGG